UACGUAGGGGGCAAGCGUUGUCCGGAAUCAUUGGGCGUAAAGAGCGUGUAGGCGGCCAGAAAAGUCCGCUGUGAAAACUCGAGGCUCAACUUCGAGCUGUCGGUGGAAACUUUCUGGCUAGAGUCCGGAAGAGGAGAAUGGAAUUCCUGGUGUAGCGGUGAAAUGCGCAGAUAUCAGGAAGAACACCAAUGGCGAAGGCAGCACUCUGGGACGUGACUGACGCUGAGACGCGAAAGCGUGGGGAGCAAACAGG
This 253-nucleotide ribosomal RNA is filed under the name uncultured bacterium. RNAcentral's name for it is "partial 16S ribosomal RNA". It matches the Rfam family "Bacterial small subunit ribosomal RNA", at positions 524 to 776 of the family's 1533-position model. The record is from RNAcentral.